This 83-nucleotide transfer RNA is filed under the name Astyanax mexicanus (Mexican tetra). It matches the Rfam family "tRNA". From Rfam's summary of the family: Transfer RNA (tRNA) molecules are approximately 80 nucleotides in length. Lineage: Eukaryota; Metazoa; Chordata; Actinopteri; Characiformes; Acestrorhamphidae. The record is from Rfam by way of RNAcentral.
ACCAGGAUGGCCCAGUGGUUAAGGUGUUGGACUUAAGCUCUACUGGGAAAAUGCUUGUGUGGGUUUGAAUCCUGCUCCUGGUA